GGCGGGCUGCCCGGUUCGUGAUGGGACUUUUCCAGGGGCCUAUGUCGAUUCUUAUGGGAGUUGUCCCUGUGCCUGACCGUGGUCUCGCACACACGGCGCCCACCUACGUUACGUAGGGAACCCGGAAUCGAAACCCCACACGGCCAUGGCGGCUUCGCC
RNAcentral lists this non-coding RNA (159 nucleotides) under Hyphomicrobiales bacterium. RNAcentral's name for it is "Rhizobiales bacterium (beach sand metagenome) 6S RNA". It matches the Rfam family "6S / SsrS RNA". From Rfam's summary of the family: E. coli 6S RNA was the first non coding RNA to be sequenced, but its function was unknown until recently. It consists of 184 nucleotides that fold into an extended hairpin structure with a large single-stranded internal bulge. The record is from RNAcentral. Lineage: Bacteria; Pseudomonadati; Pseudomonadota; Alphaproteobacteria; Hyphomicrobiales.